This 1572-nucleotide ribosomal RNA is filed under the name Triticum aestivum (bread wheat). RNAcentral describes it as "partial small subunit ribosomal RNA". The record is from RNAcentral. Lineage: Eukaryota; Viridiplantae; Streptophyta; Magnoliopsida; Poales; Poaceae.
AUGGAUAGGCUCGUCGCCGCCGGCAUCCUUGGCUUUCUACUGAUUGCGUCGGUAGGAAGCCAGGCAGCUCGUGCUCCGGAGCAAUACUGGAAGUCUGCUCUUCCCAACACCCCUAUGCCAAGUUCCCUCUCUCAACUCCUGAACAGUCAAGCCGGAGGCACCUCGGUGAACGUCGGCUCGGGUGGUGUCCAUGUCGACGCGGGUCAUGGGAUGCCCGGCGGCACGACGGUCGAUGUUGGCAAGGGUGGCGUCGGCGUCAACGUCAAGCCUGGCAGCGCCAAGCCCCGCGGGACUACGGUCGGCGUCGGCAAGGGCGGCGUGGGUGUCAACGUCAAGCCUGGCUACGGCAAGCCCGGGGGCACAACCGUGGGCGUUGGCAAGGGCGGCGUUGACGUCAACGUCAAACCUGGAAGCGGCAAGCCCAGCGGCACGACGGUCGGCGUUGGCAAAGGCGGCGUGGGCGUCAAUGUCAAGCCUGGCUACGGCAAGCCCGGCGGCACCACGGUUGGAGUAGGCAAGGGAGGCGUCGGCGUGAACGUGAAGCCUGGCGGCGGCACCACGGUCGGAGUAGGGAAGGGAGGCGUCGGCGUGAACGUGAAGCCUGGCGACGGCACCACGGUCGGCGUCGGGAAAGGUGGCGUCGGCGUGAACGUGAAGCCUGCAUACGGCAAGCCUGGUGGCACCGGCACCACCGUCGGCGUCGGGAAGGGUGGCGUCGGCGUCAACGUCAAGCCCGGCUACGGUAAGCCAGGCGGCACCACGGUCGGCGUUGGCAAGGGCGGCGUCGGCGUCAACGUCAAGCCUGGCUACGGUAAGCCAGGCGGCAAACCCCGGGGUAAGCCUGUCCACGUCAACGUCUCGCCUUUCCUAUACAACUACGCCGCGACGGAGACGCAGCUGCACGACGACCCCAGCGCCGCGCUCUUCUUCCUGGAGAAGGAUCUGCACGCCGGGAAGAAGAUGAACGUCCAUUUCAUGGCCACCCCGGGCGCCGGCGAGAAGUUCCUGCCGCGGAGCGAGGCCGACGCCAUCCCGUUCUCCUCGGAGAAGGCCCCCGAGAUCCUCAGCCGCUUCUCCGUGGCGCCGGACUCCGCCGAGGCCGCGGAGAUGAAGCAGACGCUGCGCGAGUGCGAGGCGACGGCGGCCAAGGGGGAGAAGAAGUCGUGCGCCACGUCGCUGGAGUCCAUGGUGGACUUCGCCACGUCCAGCCUCGGGACCAGCCACGUGAGGGCCGCCUCCACGGUGGUCGGAAAGGAGGGGUCGCCGGAGCAGGAGUACACCAUGGCCGGCGUGAGGCGCGCGGCGGGGGCCGACCAGCUCGUGGCCUGCCACGCGGAGCCGUACGCGUACGCCGUGUUCGCGUGCCACCUGACGCAGGCGACGAGGGCGUACACGGUGUCCAUGGUCGGCAAGGACGGCACGGCGGUGGAGGCCGUGGCGGUGUGCCACGCCGACACGGCCGGCUGGAACCCGAGGCACGUGGCGUUCCAGGUGCUCAAGGUGAAGCCCGGCGGGGCGCCGGUGUGCCACUUCCUGCCGCAGGACCACGUCGUCUGGACCCGCAGCGGCUGA